This 259-nucleotide ribosomal RNA is filed under the name uncultured prokaryote. RNAcentral describes it as "partial 16S ribosomal RNA". It matches the Rfam family "Bacterial small subunit ribosomal RNA", at positions 524 to 782 of the family's 1533-position model. The record is from RNAcentral.
UACGGAGGAUGCAAGCGUUAUCCGGAUUUAUUGGGUUUAAAGGGUGCGUAGGCGGCUUUUUAAGUCAGCGGUGAAAUUUUGCAGCUUAACUGUAACAGUGCCGUUGAUACUGGGGAGCUAGGAUUUGGUUGCUGUGGGUGGAAUGUGUGGUGUAGCGGUGAAAUGCUUAGAGAUCACACAGAAUAUCGAUUGCGAAGGCAUCUCACAAAGCCGUUAUUGACGCUGAGGCACGAAAGUGUGGGGAUCAAACAGGAUUAGA